Molecule: long non-coding RNA, 647 nt
Filed under: Salmo salar (Atlantic salmon)
Lineage: Eukaryota; Metazoa; Chordata; Actinopteri; Salmoniformes; Salmonidae
Description: lncRNA (ENSSSAG00000112927.1)
Source: RNAcentral
GGGUUAGGUUUAGGGGUUAGGGUUAGGUUUAGGGUUAGGGUUACAGGUUAGGGUUAGGGGUUAGGGUUAGGGUUGAGGUUAAUGGUUAGGGUUAGGGGUUAGGGUUACAGGUUAGGGUUAGGGGUUAGGGUUAGGGUUAAGGUUAAUGGUUAGGUUUAGGGGUUAGGGGAAAUAGGAUUUUGAAUGGAAAAUAGUUAUAGGUCCCCACAAGUAUAGAUGAACAUAAAAUAUGUGUGUGUGUGUGUGUUGUGCCUUGUCAUUUGGUGCUGUGCUACGGAGCAUAGAUAAUUACAAGAACAGCUUCAUUCCCUUCUGUCUGCUUCAUAUCUGAGCAAUCUGGGAUUGGUACCAACAUCACAUUUUGGACGUGUCAAUGAAAGAUAUCGGACUAUAGCCAUUGAUUAUUGAAGACUGUAUCUUAGAAAUGCCCCAUGACUUUAGUCCAACUGUAGUUCAACCAUCCCACAACUGUAGUUAAACCAUCCCUCAACUAUAGUUCAACCAUCCCUCAACUGUAGUUCAACCAUCCCUCAACUGUAGUUCAACCAUCCCUCAACUGUAGUUCAACCAUCCCUCAACUGUAGUUCAACCAUCCCUCAACUGUUUACCAAAAAAUGUUGGUGUUUGAACCCCAGAUUGCCCCUUUA